RNAcentral lists this ribosomal RNA (301 nucleotides) under uncultured bacterium. RNAcentral describes it as "partial 16S ribosomal RNA". It matches the Rfam family "Bacterial small subunit ribosomal RNA", at positions 509 to 807 of the family's 1533-position model. The record is from RNAcentral.
CAGCCGCCGCGGUAAUACGAAGGGUGCAAGCGUUAAUCGGAAUUACUGGGCGUAAGGCGUGCGUAGGCGGUUUGUUAAGUCUGUUGUGAAAUCCCCGGGCUCAACCUGGGAAUGGCAAUGGAUACUGGCAAGCUAGAGUGUGUCAGAGGAUGGUGGAAUUCCCGGUGUAGCGGUGAAAUGCGUAGAGAUCGGGAGGAACAUCAGUGGCGAAGGCGGCCAUCUGGGACAACACUGACGCUGAGGCACGAAAGCGUGGGGAGCAAACAGGAUUAGAUACCCGGGUAGUCCCUGUCUCUUAUAC